Mauremys reevesii (Reeves's turtle) is the source of this 2680-nucleotide long non-coding RNA. RefSeq lists it as uncharacterized. The transcript has 4 exons. NCBI's taxonomy places the organism in Eukaryota, Metazoa, Chordata, Testudines, Geoemydidae. The record is from RefSeq and is a predicted model, not a curated record.
CACUAGGGCUGGCCCCGCUUCUCGGGGAGUCCUGGAGCGCUCAGGAGUCCGAGCCAGAGCCAGACACAAUCCACCCAGAGCCUCCUGAAGUUGUUAAAAGAGAACAGGGGCCAUAGACUCGGUUCUAGUGGAAGUUUCCCUCUGAACAUAAGGAAGCAGCAGAGAUCUUAAACUGAGCGCUACAGAGGCAUGUCGGAGGGGAAGAGGCAUGAGGUUGCACUAGUGGGCUUUUGCUAGCUAUCUAAUUGAGGCACUUGAGGGGAGGUGUCCCUAAUGAAAGGUAAUUGCUGCACUGAUUGCAAUAGGAGAUUUGACUUUCUCCAGGUUGAGGGAGGGGGAUUACAACACAAAUCAAAUGAACGAGACAUUUAUAUACACAGAGCCGAAUUUGUCUAGGGAACAGUGUAAAUGCAACAGGCAUGACUCCAGUUUUCAUCUCAGUACCAACAGGACUCCCAAUUAGAUAGUGAAUAUUGAUGACAGCGAGAGCUUCAGAAUCCAGUGUAGAAGUGGCUGGUUUUAAAAGCAGAACUCUCACACAGGAAGGUUUAGUGUGCUUUAAAUUAACACCAUCAACGUGUAUUAUUCAUAAUUGCUAGUAAUAAAAUAUCUUGAUUGUGAUAGAGCAUUCUGUAAAUAAUAUGCCCUGAUUUAACAAAAAAUCAAUUAAAUAUUAUAAAGAGGGCUUCCGCUUCUUUGCAGCUGCUGCUGUCUUUUCAGCAAGGGAGAAAGUGGCUAUAGGGAAAUAGUGAAAUUGACAAUCCAGAGACAGCUAUUGAAUGCACAAAGAAAGUUUAUGGCUAUCUAUCUAUCAAGUGUCUCAACUUUCAGUUCCAGUAAUUGUAGGUAUUAUUUACAACUACAGUAGAUAGCACAUUUCAAAACCGAAAUGAGAGUUUGGCGCUGAUGUGUCCCUUUAAAUUUAAACUGGGACAAAGGGGCUCACAACAGUAACAUAGGACCCUGCCUCAUUCAGUGUGCAGGCUGGAUAGAAAGUGAGGCAUUGUUGUGUAGUGAAUGAGGAUGGGGCAUGGAGCAUGCUGGCAUGUUGGUGCACAGGGGCAAGAUGGUGCAGCCUGCUCCCUGCAAUGCAGCAGGCCCAGUCAACAGUCCAGAGCAGGGCAGGGAGCCUGCAGGACCAUGAGCUUGCAUACUUCCCACCACACCUUUCAGCAUAAUGCAGAAUGCCUGCCACACACCUCUGUGCAACAUGAUCAAUUCCAUAGUCACAAACACCAAUUAUUUGCUGUCAGGAUGCUUUUCUUGUAUGCAGUCAAGCUGUGCAAGAUGAACAAUGGAGCAGAGAACAAGAUGAAAUGGUGGCUGGAUGAAAGGUGAAGGCAUCCCGCCUCCCCACACACACAUUUUAGGUUCUAUUUCUGGAAUCAUAAUCCUUGUAAUGCUACUGGCACCUUGGGGAAAACUUGUCAGAAUCAGAAGUGAUUGAACUGCAAGUGCUGAUGGCUGCAUUACCAAUACCCUCUUUAAUUGCUUGGUGUUAUUGGGCCGCGAUCCCUGGACACCACAAUAAAUGAAACUAGAAUGGUGUGCACACAACAAGAACAAGUGGGAAACAAAACAGAGGAGGGAGUCAUUUGGGGUAACCACAGACAGGAGAAUUUUACAUUCAUUGCCCUGUGGCAAUUUUUUUCUCGACACUUCCUUUGAGAUGGGACUGGAGCUGAUUCCAUGACAAAGAAAGCAGUGGAGCCAGGCAAGUUCUCAUUUUAAAAAGUAGGAGGGUUGCAGGAAAGGGAGUCCAUGGGAAAAUCUGAAAAAAAAAAUUAGGUUUUAAAUUUUGUUUUCAUCCUAUAUUGGAACAAAACCUUGAGAACUUUUGAUGUUUUCAUGGGGAGCAGGGGAAAGAGGGCAAGACCUCAGAACACCCAAUAGCCUAGUGAAUCAGGCAGAGCAGGAACUAGAAUGUAGGUAUCCCACAUCCCAGGUGUGUGCUCUGACCAUCAGGAUAGACAGUCAAUCUCUCUCUGGCCCAACAACUAUUUAAUUAUUCAUACAAAGUAGAACAAGCUCCUACCCAGGAGAUUGAGGCUGAUUGAGAUUCAAGUCCCUGCACCAAAUCAGGCAGAGCACAAACUUUUGAACAUGGGUCUCCUCCUUCUUAGGCAAGUGCUCAAAGCACUGGGCUAUUGACUAUUCUAGAGUGGAGUGCUCGCUCCACCCCAAGAACCUUCUCAAUGAAAGUCUACUCAAAACCAAUAUGGACUUUCUCACAAAAAAGUAGUGUUGAAGAAUUCCCAACCAGCUCUAUUCAGGAGACUUCAGGGAGCUGUAGCACCCUUAGCUUUGAAUUUCCUGACUCCCAAGGAUUUCAGCCAGUUCCUUAAUGCUAACUUCUUGUAUAUUUUUGUUUGAGUCUAUAUCGCUAUAUACAUAUUAUGUGUGUACUUGUAUUAUGUAUAUAUGAAAUGCAUGCAUAUUUCAGAAACACCAUGAGCCCAAUUUUCAAACAACAGUGUCUUAUCGAGAUAUCAAAAUGUCACAAAUGACUAUACACUUAAGUGUCCAUUUAGAGUCUUAUGCAAAACUUUCAUUGACUGCAAUGGGCUUAAAGCACCUAACAGCAGAUUUAAAAUGCCACACAUGAGAUUUUGAUGCCUUGAUUAUUGAAGACCCACGUUUGAGAAGCAGGCCAGGUGUAGGAAUCUGUUUAUCUAUUCAA